RNAcentral lists this ribosomal RNA (1577 nucleotides) under Serratia marcescens. RNAcentral's name for it is "bacterial SSU rRNA". The stretch from base 1 to 1363 matches the Rfam family "Bacterial small subunit ribosomal RNA". Lineage: Bacteria; Pseudomonadati; Pseudomonadota; Gammaproteobacteria; Enterobacterales; Yersiniaceae. The record is from RNAcentral.
UGUGAAAUCCCCGGGCUCAACCGUGCGAGUCGAGCGGUAGCACAGGGGAGCUUGCUCCCUGGGUGACGAGCGGUGGAAGGGCUGUUUGUCUGGGAACUGCCUGAUGGAGGGGGAAACUACUGGAAACGGUAGCGAAUUAACGUCGCACCGCAAAGACCAAAGAGGGGGACCUUCGGGCCUCUUGCCAUCAGAUGUGCCCAGAUGGGAUUAGCUAGUAGGUGGGGUAAUGGCUCACCUAGGCGACGAUCCCUAGCUGGUCUGAGAGGAUGACCAGCCACACUGGAACUGAGACACGGUCCAGACUCCUACGGGAGGCAGCAGUGGGGAAUAUUGCACAAUGGGCGCAAGCCUGAUGCAGCCAUGCCGCGUGUGUGAAGAAGGCCUUCGGGUUGUAAAGCACUUUCAGCGAGGAGGAAGGUGGUGAACUUAAUACGUUCAUCAAUUGACGUUACUCGCAGAAGAAGCACCGGCUAACUCCGUGCCAGCAGCCGCGGUAAUACGGAGGGUGCAAGCGUUAAUCGGAAUUACUGGGCGUAAAGCGCACGCAGGCGGUUUGUUAAGUCAGAUGGGGCUCAUGAAAUCCCCACCUGGGAACUGCAUUUGAAACUGGCAAGCUAGAGUCUCGUAGAGGGGGGUAGAAUUCCAGGUGUAGCGGUGAAAUGCGUAGAGAUCUGGGAGGAAUACCGGUGGCGAAGGCGGCCCCCUGGACGAGACUGACGCUCAGGUGCGAAAGCGUGGGGAGCAAACAGGAUUAGAUACCCUGGUAGUCCACGCUGUAACGAUGUCGAUUGGAGUUGUGCCAUGAGGCGUGGCUUCCGGAGCUAACGCGUAAAUCGAACGGCUGGGGGAGUACGCCGCAAGUUUAACCUCAAAUGAAUUGACCGGGGUCCGCACAAGCGGUGGAGCAUGUGGUUUAAUUCGAUGCAACGCGAAGAACCUUACCUACUCUUGACAUCCAGAGAACUUUCCAGAGAUGGAUUGGUGCCUUCGGGACUCUGAGACAGGUGCUGCAUGGCUGUCGUCAGCUCGUGUUGUGAAAUGUUGGGGUAAGUCCCGCAACGAGCGCAACCCUUAUCGUUAACCAAAGUGGUAAGCGCCCUCCCGUAGGUUAAGCUACCUACAAGAUUGCACCCACUCCCAGGAGGCCCCCUGUGUACAGGCCCGGGACGUAAAAAAAAGAGGACACGAUUACUAGCGAUUCCGACUUCAUGGAGUCGAGUUGCAGACUCCAAUCCUUUACCCCUUACCAGAAAUAGGAGGUCCGCUUGCUCUCGCGAGGUCGCUUCUCUUUGUAUAUGCCAUUGUAGCACGUGUGUAGCCCUACUCGUAAGGGCCAUGAUGUCUUGACGUCAUCCCCACCUUCCUCCAGUUUAUCACUGGCAGUCUCCUUUGAGUUCCCGGCCGAACCGCUGGCAACAAAGGAUAAGGGUUGCGCUCGUUGCGGGACUUAACCCAACAUUUCACAACACGAGCUGACGACUUUCAUGCAGCACCUGUCUCAGAGUUCCCGAAAGGCACCAAUCCAUCUCUGCUAAGUUCUCUGGAUGUCAAGAGUAGCGAAUACCGCAUAACGUCGC